UCCCUGGUGGCUCAGAUGGUAAAGCAUCUGCCUACAAUGCAGGAGACCCAGGUUCAGUCCCUGGGUUGGGAA
This 72-nucleotide transfer RNA is filed under the name Odocoileus virginianus texanus. It matches the Rfam family "tRNA". From Rfam's summary of the family: Transfer RNA (tRNA) molecules are approximately 80 nucleotides in length. Their secondary structure includes four short double-helical elements and three loops (D, anti-codon, and T loops). RNAcentral also lists the same sequence under 5 other names. The record is from Rfam by way of RNAcentral. Lineage: Eukaryota; Metazoa; Chordata; Mammalia; Artiodactyla; Cervidae.